GAUGAACGCUGGCGGCGCGCCUAACACAUGCAAGUCGAACGAUUAAAGCACCUUCGGGUGUGUAUAAAGUGGCGAACGGCUGAGUAACACGUGGGCAACCUGCCCCUUUCAUUGGGAUAGCCACGGGAAACCGUGGAUAAUACCGAAUACUUCGAGACUUCCGCAUGGAAGACUCGAGAAAGCUCCGGCGGAGAGGGAUGGGCCCGCGGCCUGUUAGCUUGUUGGUGGGGUAACGGCCUACCAAGGCAAUGAUGGGUAGCUGGGUUGAGAGACCGACCAGCCAGAUUGGGACUGAGACACGGCCCAGACUCCUACGGGAGGCAGCAGUGGGGAAUCUUGCACAAUGGGCGAAAGCCUGAUGCAGCGACGCCGCGUGCGGGAUGAAGGCCUUAGGGUUGUAAACCGCUUUCAGCAGGGACGAGGCGAAAGUGACGGUACCUGCAGAAGAAGCCCCGGCUAACUACGUG
This 467-nucleotide ribosomal RNA is filed under the name uncultured bacterium. RNAcentral describes it as "partial 16S ribosomal RNA". It matches the Rfam family "Bacterial small subunit ribosomal RNA", at positions 28 to 507 of the family's 1533-position model. The record is from RNAcentral.